GGAUCGCCACCGCAAGGUUCCAUGUCAUGUACUGGUUCCCUAUCAUCACCAUCAAUCUCUAAACGAGACUGACCUAAAUUUUUAACUGGUUCUUGCCACAAAAUUUGUACUCAUCGGAUGGUAGCCAAAAGUGCUUAAUUUUUCACACAAUUUCACUGGGCAAUCACAGUUUGAUGAUUGGUUACAAUUUUUACUCCAAUCCUUGGUUUAUUCAUUUUCUCAAAGUUCA
This 229-nucleotide unclassified non-coding RNA is filed under the name Hevea brasiliensis (rubber tree). Lineage: Eukaryota; Viridiplantae; Streptophyta; Magnoliopsida; Malpighiales; Euphorbiaceae. The record is from RNAcentral.